Molecule: ribosomal RNA, 253 nt
Filed under: uncultured bacterium
Lineage: Bacteria
Description: partial 16S ribosomal RNA
Rfam family: Bacterial small subunit ribosomal RNA
Source: RNAcentral
UACGGAGGAGGCAAGCGUUAUCCGGAAUUAUUGGGCGUAAAGCGUCCGUAGGUGGCUAGUCAAGUCUGCGGUGAAAGACUGGGGCUUAACCCUGGAAAGGCCGUGGAAACUGACGAGCUAGAGUGCAGUAGGGGUAGAGGGAAUUCCCGGUGUAGCGGUGAAAUGCGUAGAGCUCGGGAAGAACAUCGGUGGCGAAAGCGCUCUACUGGACUGCAACUGACACUCAGGGACGAAAGCUAGGGGAGCGAAUGGG